This is a long non-coding RNA of Hyla sarda, 432 nucleotides long. RefSeq lists it as uncharacterized. The transcript is spliced from 3 exons. NCBI's taxonomy places the organism in Eukaryota, Metazoa, Chordata, Amphibia, Anura, Hylidae. The record is from RefSeq and is a predicted model, not a curated record.
UCUGGACAGGUUUUGAUAAAUCUCCCCUAUAGAGUGUACCAAUAAUAAACCUUUGAUUACUCAUAAAAGAAAUAUUACUAUUAAGGGGUUUAUUGACAAGCAACAAAGAAAAACGAAAAAAGCAACAAAUCUAGCUGGUUGACAGAGUUCAGACUAGAAGAGACACCUUACCUGGCGCUAUAUACAUGCCGUCUGAUGUCAUGACACUAGGCCUGUUGAAGCGCUCCAGCGCGAAAUGGUACUAUUGCCUGUUUGAGUUCACCUGCUGAACCCGUCCGUCCUGUCUUUGUCUGUCCACACUGCUCAUUUUUGCUAUGAAUAAAUGUAUGUGAUUCAUCAGAUCCUGGGACUUUCUUAAAAUAAAAAAAAUAAAAAAAGGAACUGUCAUGUCCAGAAGGGGACAUAUGGUCAGCCUAAGCCGGACAGUGUUUG